Long non-coding RNA from Nasonia vitripennis (jewel wasp), 1178 nucleotides. RefSeq lists it as uncharacterized. Lineage: Eukaryota; Metazoa; Arthropoda; Insecta; Hymenoptera; Pteromalidae. The transcript has 3 exons. The record is from RefSeq and is a predicted model, not a curated record.
UCUGCGCUAUUUACGUAGUGAGAAAAUAACUAUUUAGAUAGUGAAUCGAACUCCUGCGGGUUCGCGAAAGAUGUCGUGCAGCGCGCCGGCGCCAUUGCGGGCAGUUGUCCCGCGUCGCCGGUCCUGUCACGUUCGGGUCCGUGCAUCAUCGAGUCAUUGUGCCGUGAACUGGAGGUAAACGUAAUUACUCCUGUGCUGUUUGUGCUCGGGUUGUGCAUUUAUUGUGCCAGAUUAAGGUGGACGCGUCUAAACUUUGCUGUGCUAUUCGAGGAGCUAUUAGACAGCAAUUUUCAACAUCGUGCUGCCGGAAAACAACCAAAAGCUUGUCGAACGCGACACCUGUCAUUUUUGGCCUGCACACGUGCCACCCGCGUACUUAGCUCAAACAGACCAAUACCAAUGGUUUUCAAUUUUUUAGAUCGACAACGAUUUCAACCGUUUAUAUCCAGAUUUAGGAGAUAAGUUUCAGUCCUUCUAUGUUCCAAAAAUCUUAACUUAUGCCCAGAAGAAUAACGCUGCUCUGAUUCGUCGAUAUGCUGAUAUUAAAAAUGUCGAAUUAAAAGCUAUGCUAAUCUUGAUCGAUUUAUUACCUGUAUUGAAUGCUCUUAAAUAUAAAAGUUCAAAAUCUCAAAAUAAAUCAAAAAACUCAAUGUCACAGAAGGCCUCAAAAGUCGUAACGUCGCAGGAAGUUGCAAACGGCUCAAAAUCUCAAAAGAAAUCUAACAACUCAAAACCAUACAGUUUUGUUGUCGAAAUAGCAUCGGAAUUGACUGAUUUAGCAAAGUUUGUCAGUGAUAAAAGGCGCAGUUCUUCUACAAACGUCCAACCUUAUAUAAUUUGCGUGCAAACUCUGGAAAACCAUGCUUUUUUUAUUCUCAAGGAGACGGAUGGCUUGUCAACCGCUCGGAUAAAACUAAAUUUAUACCGACAUUCGAUUUACUAUUCAAAUUGUACUAUGUUUUGAAUUUAGAAUAUCCUGUAAUUUGACAAAAUUUUUUUUAUUUCAUUCAGCGUUUUGUGUAUAAAAUUACAUCUGACACGCCUGCAGUCAGUUCAGUAACUACACUCCAUGUAAAUUUAUCGUCAAUCAAAGAUGAACAGUUGAUUGACUGCGAAUCACUAACUGAUGCUUCUGACGAUGAAUCUUUAUAAUAAACUAGCUUAACGUUCAUUUAAAA